AUACGUAGGGGGCGAGCGUUGUCCGGAAUGAUUGGGCGUAAAGGGCGCGUAGGCGGCACGGUAAGUCUGGAGUGAAAGUCCUCCUCUUAAGGUGGGACUUGCUUUGGAAACUGUCGGGCUUGAGUGCAGGAGAGGUAAGUGGAAUUCCCAGUGUAGCGGUGAAAUGCGUAGAGAUUGGGAGGAACACCAGUGGCGAAGGCGACUUACUGGACUGUAACUGACGCUGAGGCGCGAAAGUGUGGGGAUCAAACAGGAUUAGAUACCCUGGUAGUCCACACUGUAAACGAUGAAUGCUAAGUGUAAGGGGUAUCGACCCCUUCUGUGCCGCAGUUAACACAAUAAGCAUUCCGCCUGGGGAGUACGGCCGCAAGGUUGAAACUCAAAUGAAUUGACGGGG
This 397-nucleotide ribosomal RNA is filed under the name uncultured bacterium. RNAcentral's name for it is "partial 16S ribosomal RNA". It matches the Rfam family "Bacterial small subunit ribosomal RNA", at positions 523 to 918 of the family's 1533-position model. The record is from RNAcentral.